This 86-nucleotide non-coding RNA is filed under the name unclassified sequences. The record is from RNAcentral.
GAGUAUCUGCCGCCGGGCAGAACAUCAUGCAUCGGUCCUGCACCGUUAGGCCUUUGAAGGUGCGGGAAGCCGGUGUAUUUUCUUUU